CACGUAGGGUGCAAGCGUUGUCCGGAAUCCUUGGGCGUAAAGAGCUCGUAGGCGGCUUAGUAAGUCGGGUGUGAAAACCCCAGGCUCAACCUGGGGACGCCACCCGAUACUGCUAUAGCUAGAGUCCAGUAGGGGAGUGUGGAAUUCCCAGUGUAGCGGUGAAAUGCGCAGAUAUUGGGAGGAACACCAGCGGCGAAGGCGGCACUCUGGGCUGGUACUGACGCUGAGACGCGAAAGCGUGGGGAGCGAACAGG
Molecule: ribosomal RNA, 254 nt
Filed under: uncultured bacterium
Lineage: Bacteria
Description: partial 16S ribosomal RNA
Rfam family: Bacterial small subunit ribosomal RNA
Source: RNAcentral